GGCCCUCUGGCGGAAUGGUAGACGCGCUCGACUCAAAAUCGAGCGGGGCGACCCCCCGUCCCGGUUCGAGUCCGGGGAGGGCCA
Molecule: transfer RNA, 84 nt
Organism: Anaeromyxobacter dehalogenans 2CP-C
Lineage: Bacteria; Pseudomonadati; Myxococcota; Myxococcia; Myxococcales; Anaeromyxobacteraceae
Rfam family: tRNA
About the family: Transfer RNA (tRNA) molecules are approximately 80 nucleotides in length. Their secondary structure includes four short double-helical elements and three loops (D, anti-codon, and T loops).
Source: Rfam